Molecule: ribosomal RNA, 1510 nt
Filed under: metagenome
Description: bacterial SSU rRNA
Rfam family: Bacterial small subunit ribosomal RNA
Source: RNAcentral
AGAGUUUGCUCCUGGCUCAGAACGAACGCUGGCGGCGUGCCUAAUCCAUGCAAGUCGAACGAGAAGCCCACCUUCGGGUGGGUGGAGAGUGGCGAAUUGGUGAGUAACACGUGGGUAAUCUACCCUGGAGUAGGGGACAACCCUUCUAACGAGGGGCCAAUACCGCAUACGAUCGGAGUGUCGCAUGACGUUCCGAUGAAAGAGGGGGUCUUCGGACCUCUCGCUCCAGGAUGUGCCCGCGCCCCAUUAGCUAGUUGGUGAGGUAACGGCUCACCAAGGCUUCGAUGGGUAGCCGGCCUGAGAGGGUGAACGGCCACACUGGGACUGAGAUACAGCCCAGACUCCUACGGGAGGCAGCAGGAGGGAAUAUUGUACACUGCGCGAAAGUGCGAUACAGCGACGCCGCGUGAGGGAAGACGCUCCUCGGAGUGUAAACCUCAAACGGGCAGGGACGAACGUCGUUCGGUUAAUACCCGGACGAUCUGACUGUACCUGUUACGAAGCUCCGGCUAACUCCGUGCCAGCAGCCGCGGUAAUACGGGGGGAGCAAGCGUUGUUCGGAAUUACUGGGCGUAAAGGGCGUCUAGGUGGACUGUCAAGUCAGAGGUGAAAUCUCCCGGCUCAACCGGGAGCCUGCCUUUGAAACUGACAGUCUUGAGUGCGGGAGAGGUAUGGGGAAUUCCCAGUGUAGCGGUGAAAUGCGUAGAUAUUGGGAGGAAUGCCGGUGGCGAAGGCGCCAUACUGGCCUAGCACUGACACUGAAGCGCGAAAGCGUGGGGAGCGAACAGGAUUAGAUACCCUGGUAGUCCACGCCGUAAACGAUGGGCACUAGGUGUGGGAGGUAUUUGACCCCUCUCGUGCCGAAGCUAACGCAUUAAGUGCCCCGCCUGGGGAGUACGGUCGCAAGGCUGAAACUCAAAGGAAUUGACGGGUCUCCGCACAAGCGGUGGAGCAUGAUGCUUAAUUCGACGAUACGCGAAAAACCUUACCUGGGCUUGACAUGCCCCUGACGCUCUAGAGAUAGGGCUUUCCUUCGGGACGGGGGACACAGGUGCUGCAUGGCUGUCGUCAGCUCGUGUCGUGAGAUGUUGGAUUAAGUCCCGCAACGAGCGCAACCCCUACCACUAGUUGCCAUCUGGUAAUGCUGGGCACUCUAGUGGGACUGCCGGCGAUAAGUCGGAGGAAGGUGGGGAUGACGUCAAGUCCUCAUGGUCCUUACGCCCAGGGCUGCAAUCGUGCUACAAUGGUCGGUACAGAGGGUUGCUAAGCCGCGAGGUGGAGCUAAUCCCAAAAAGCCGAUCUCAGUUCGGAUUGGAGUCUGCAACUCGACUCCAUGAAGUUGGAAUCGCUAGUAAUCGCGGAUCAGAAUGCCGCGGUGAAUACGUUCCCGGGGAUUGUACACACCGCCCGUCAAGCGAUGAAAGCCGGGGGUACCCGACGUCGUUGCCCUAACUUCGGAGGGGCGCGCCUAAGGUAAACUCGGUGAUUGGCGCUAAGUCGGAACAAGGCA